Long non-coding RNA from Canis lupus familiaris (dog), 1875 nucleotides. RefSeq lists it as uncharacterized. NCBI's taxonomy places the organism in Eukaryota, Metazoa, Chordata, Mammalia, Carnivora, Canidae. The record is from RefSeq and is a predicted model, not a curated record. The transcript has 3 exons.
CCUCAGGCACAAUCUGACCUAAGGCAGACUGCUCCUCCAGGAGCACCAGUCCUGUCACCCGGGGCAAAAGAUUCCCUAGACCAGGGCAUCUGGAAGUCUCCGUGGUAGUUCUUCCCAUAGUGUGCUGCUCAGUGCCUCUGGGAGUAGGGGAAGAGCGCUUCUUGUUCCUCUCCAUGAGUCACAGGAUCCGUGCUGGCUGAGGCUGAACUUGGAUCAGAGUCACUAUUCCCUCAGUACCUUCCCGGAUGCUCUGCAUAUACUUCAGUGCUCAGUAAAUAUUCAUUGAAUAAAUGCCCAGGAUAAAGGGCUGCCAGAAGGGACAGGCGUGAAGGGAAGGGCCUCCCCAGAAUGCCUGUCCUUGGAAGCCUGCUUAGGAUGCCCUGGGCUCCACCAUGUAGGAGUGAAACUAUGGAGAGCAGCUUCAGGGACAGGCACUGAGCCUUCGCUGGGCAUCAGGACUUUGGGAACAUCCACCCUGGGACACCGGCAGGGCCUGAGCCUCUGCGGCGCACACACGGCUCACGAUCCUGGACCGCGGACGCAACCCCGGGGAAGAGGUGGCCAGGGACCUGAGCUGCUGCUCCUCGGCCAAGGUGAGAGGAAGAGUUUGCAGCGCCACCACCGAGUCCGAGCGACAGGAACAGGGCUUCGUACCGCACACACAAGUUCUCUACAGUGAAUCCAGACCGUGAGGUCCCGACACGCGCAACCCCAUCCCCUGCAGAGAUCCCGUGUUUCCGCAAAAGACCUGCACCGGCAACGAAAGCGCGAACAACCCAUCCGCCCCAGGGGCCGCCGAAAUCUGCCCGUUUACACACACAUGAAAGAAAAGAUCGUCAGGAAGAAUCAGAUAGGAGCAGCCGGGGUGUUGCAAGUCCCGACUACGCAGAGACGCUAAUCACGAAUCAUGCGAGCUCCAAUCAUCAUGUUCCGAGCUGCCCUCCCGAAGGAGGAACAGUCUGCAAGGCUGGAAGAGAGCCUUCCGUUUCUCCAAGUAGUGUGGCUACCCCAGGACUCCCCUAAAAGUUUUGGUCAGAGGGAGAACUGUAGACUGCCUUCCUUGUUCUGGCAAUGCUGAGUGGUCCCCUGCUCCUCCAGCCUUCAUCCCUGUGCUCGCGUCAGGAAGGUAUCAGAAAGGUUUCUUUUUCAGCCCAAAGACACUGACGAAUAAUGCCAUUUCGGUGACAGCUGGGAGGGCACUGCGGACAGAAGGUGAUGGGUUCAAGGCUCCUUCCAAGAAAAUGACCCACAUUCCCAAACUACAGACUCCACCCUCAAAGUGUGGAAGAGGGGGACUUCAAGGGACUACAGGAUGUGGAGUGGGUCUGGUUUCUUCUGCAUGGGCAUGGAGUAAAGGCCUGGGUAGUGGGGGGGGGGCGGGGAGAAGAACCUUCAGAUUGAGUAAACCUUCCUCCCCCAUCCCCAAACAUAGGAUGCUACCGUACCUGCAGAAGACAAAAAUGUACCAGUAAGUGGUGCACUCCCAACGUUCGAAUAUGAAAAAGGAUAGGGCCACCGAGGCACUACAGUGAGCUGCAAUGGCUUGGGAAUGCACCAGAGUCAAGGAAAGCCUUUAGUUCAAUAGGUAGAAUAAGUAGUGAUGAGCCAGGAAAGACCAUUGCUGGGACUGACACCUGCAACUCAGGUUCCCUUCUUGCUCCCUCACCACGCUGCAAAGGCCAGAACCAGCAACCCUGACUUCUAAAUUUAAGGACAGCCAUGUGAGGGGCGCCUGAGUGGCUCAGGCAGUGAAGUGUCUGCCUUCUGCUCAGGUCAUGAUCCCAGAGUCCUGGAAUGGAGUUUGGUGUCUGCUUCUCCCUCUUCCUCUGCCUGCUGCUCCCGCUGCUUGUGCUCUCUCUCCCCCUCUCUGUCUCU